CAGAUACAAUGAUCAAGAAGGUUGUUUGCCCAGGGCGAGGCUCGGCCAUUGCACUCCGGUCGUGCUGACCCCUGCGAACGGCGAUGGGCCGAACUGGAG
The sequence is a small nuclear RNA, 99 nucleotides long. Its record names the gene U1. It matches the Rfam family "U1 spliceosomal RNA". From Rfam's summary of the family: U1 is a small nuclear RNA (snRNA) component of the spliceosome (involved in pre-mRNA splicing). Its 5' end forms complementary base pairs with the 5' splice junction, thus defining the 5' donor site of an intron. The record is from Ensembl.